RNAcentral lists this ribosomal RNA (402 nucleotides) under Ercolania sp. DJR-2018. Its description in RNAcentral is "LSU rRNA". It matches the Rfam family "Bacterial large subunit ribosomal RNA", at positions 1815 to 2611 of the family's 2925-position model. Lineage: Eukaryota; Metazoa; Mollusca; Gastropoda; Limapontiidae. The record is from RNAcentral.
AUAGCUCUAGGGACUAUCUAGGGUAGAGCCUGCCCAGUGCAAUUAGUUAACGGCCGCAGUACCCUGACUGUGCUAAGGUAGCAUAAUCAGUUGGCUUUUAAAUGGAGUCGGGAAUGAAUGGACAAAUGGGGCUGAGCUGUCUCCCUUAUAAUUAUUUGAAUUUCCUUAGGAGGUGAAAAUGCCUUCAUUUAGAAGAAAGACGAGAAGACCCUAGGAGUUUUUAUAAAGAGUUUUAGUAAAGCUUACAUUUUUGUUGGGGCGACACGAGAGCAAAUUAAACCUCUCUUAUUAAUAUGCCGACACUGGUAUGAAAAAUUAAACUACCCUAGGGAUAACAGCGUAAUUCUUUUUGAGUUUGCGACCUCGAUGUUGGACUAGGAAUUUACAGCUACCGCCUCAGAU